This 490-nucleotide ribosomal RNA is filed under the name uncultured bacterium. RNAcentral's name for it is "partial 16S ribosomal RNA". It matches the Rfam family "Bacterial small subunit ribosomal RNA", at positions 28 to 507 of the family's 1533-position model. The record is from RNAcentral.
GAUGAACGCUAGCUACAGGCUUAACACAUGCAAGUCGAGGGGCAGCGGGAUUGAAGCUUGCUUCAAUUGCCGGCGACCGGCGCACGGGUGAGUAACGCGUAUCCAACCUUCCGUACACUCAGGGAUAGCCUUUCGAAAGAAAGAUUAAUACCUGAUGGUAUGAUGAGAUUGCAUGAUAUCAUCAUUAAAGAUUUAUCGGUGUACGAUGGGGAUGCGUUCCAUUAGGUAGUAGGCGGGGUAACGGCCCACCUAGCCAACGAUGGAUAGGGGUUCUGAGAGGAAGGUCCCCCACAUUGGAACUGAGACACGGUCCAAACUGCUACGGGAGGCAGCAGUGAGGAAUAUUGGUCAAUGGACGAGAGUCUGAACCAGCCAAGUAGCGUGAAGGAUGAAGGUCCUACGGAUUGUAAACUUCUUUUAUAAGGGAAUAAACCCUCCCACGUGUGGGAGCUUGUAUGUACCUUAUGAAUAAGCAUCGGCUAACUCCGUG